CGGGAGUAACGCGUGAGGAACCUGCCUCAAAGAGGGGGACAACAGUUGGAAACGACUGCUAAUACCGCAUAAGCCCACGGCUCGGCAUCGAGCAGAGGGAAAAGGAGCAAUCCGCUUUGAGAUGGCCUCGCGUCCGAUUAGCUAGUUGGUGAGGUAACGGCCCACCAAGGCGACGAUCGGUAGCCGGACUGAGAGGUUGAACGGCCACAUUGGGACUGAGACACGGCCCAG
RNAcentral lists this ribosomal RNA (231 nucleotides) under uncultured bacterium. RNAcentral describes it as "partial 16S ribosomal RNA". It matches the Rfam family "Bacterial small subunit ribosomal RNA", at positions 106 to 334 of the family's 1533-position model. The record is from RNAcentral.